RNAcentral lists this ribosomal RNA (440 nucleotides) under uncultured Janthinobacterium sp. RNAcentral's name for it is "bacterial SSU rRNA". It matches the Rfam family "Bacterial small subunit ribosomal RNA", at positions 358 to 790 of the family's 1533-position model. Lineage: Bacteria; Pseudomonadati; Pseudomonadota; Betaproteobacteria; Burkholderiales; Oxalobacteraceae. The record is from RNAcentral.
GGAAUUUUGGACAAUGGGCGCAAGCCUGAUCCAGCAAUGCCGCGUGAGUGAAGAAGGCCUUCGGGUUGUAAAGCUCUUUUGUCAGGGAAGAAACGGUGAGGGCUAAUAUCCCUUGCUAAUGACGGUACCUGAAGAAUAAGCACCGGCUAACUACGUGCCAGCAGCCGCGGUAAUACGUAGGGUGCAAGCGUUAAUCGGAAUUACUGGGCGUAAAGCGUGCGCAGGCGGUUUUGUAAGUCUGAUGUGAAAUCCCCGGGCUCAACCUGGGAAUUGCAUUGGAGACUGCAAGGCUAGAAUCUGGCAGAGGGGGGUAGAAUUCCACGUGUAGCAGUGAAAUGCGUAGAUAUGUGGAGGAACACCGAUGGCGAAGGCAGCCCCCUGGGUCAAGAUUGACGCUCAUGCACGAAAGCGUGGGGAGCAAACAGGAUUAGAUACCCUAG